CCUUCCAACUCCAAAGACCAAACGACAAAUCCCAAUUCCCAAAUCAAGAAAACUAGGGGUCUUCUCUGCCUCUGUUUAUCGACAAUCACUACUAGUCUGCUACCACAAUCUGUUGGACGUCCUCCAAUUCUCUGCUGUGGUUGUCCCACAUUUUGACCUCUAUUCUUUUGGUCAAUUUGUGCUUUUGUAUUUUCCAAAAGCUCAAACCUGGAAUCCCUGACAAACCGGUAGACAAGAUUUCGAUGCCGGACCUGAUGAGUACCUUGAGGUAGUUGCCUUCAGUUCAGGGAGACCAAGGUAGAUUUGCUGGCGUCCGCAGAGCCUGAAGUCGCCCUUCCCCGUUUUAGAUUUUUGCUGUCUCUUCACUUUGAGAACAAUUGUACUUUUCUUUCUAAACCAGUGUUUGUAGAAAUUCGUAGAUGUUCGUGAAAUUGUGACACCAGAUCCUUGGGUAGACAUGUAUUGGAGUAUUUUGAAUUGUUAUAACUUUUCCGCACUUUA
Nicotiana tabacum (common tobacco) is the source of this 501-nucleotide long non-coding RNA. RefSeq lists it as uncharacterized. The record is from RefSeq and is a predicted model, not a curated record. Lineage: Eukaryota; Viridiplantae; Streptophyta; Magnoliopsida; Solanales; Solanaceae.